Molecule: ribosomal RNA, 253 nt
Filed under: uncultured bacterium
Lineage: Bacteria
Description: partial 16S ribosomal RNA
Rfam family: Bacterial small subunit ribosomal RNA
Source: RNAcentral
UACGUAGGGGGCAAGCGUUGUUCGGAAUUACUGGGCGUAAAGGGCGCGUAGGCGGCUCAGCAAGUCGGGAGUGAAAGCCCGGGGCUCAACCCCGGAAUGUCUUUCGAAACUGCUGAGCUCGAGUGCGGAAGAGGCAACUGGAAUUCCCGGUGUAGCGGUGAAAUGCGUAGAUAUUGGGAAGAACACCUGAGGCGAAGGCGGGUUGCUGGGCCGACACUGACGCUGAGGCGCGAAAGCCAGGGGAGCGAACGGG